Molecule: ribosomal RNA, 252 nt
Filed under: uncultured bacterium
Lineage: Bacteria
Description: partial 16S ribosomal RNA
Rfam family: Bacterial small subunit ribosomal RNA
Source: RNAcentral
UACGAAGGGGGGCUAGCGUUGUUCGGAAUUACUGGGCGUAAAGCGCGCGCAGGCGGCUAUCCAAGUCAGUGGUGAAAGCCCGGAGCUCAACUCCGGAACUGCCAUUGAAACUGUUUAGCUUGAGGAUGAGAGAGGUGAGUGGAAUUCCCAGUGUAGAGGUGAAUUCGUAGAUAUUGGGAAGAACACCGGUGGCGAAGGCGGCGACCUGGUCCGAUACUGACGCUGAGGCGCGAAGCGUGGGGAGCAAACAGG